RNAcentral lists this ribosomal RNA (9263 nucleotides) under Triticum aestivum (bread wheat). RNAcentral's name for it is "partial small subunit ribosomal RNA". The record is from RNAcentral. Lineage: Eukaryota; Viridiplantae; Streptophyta; Magnoliopsida; Poales; Poaceae.
AUGACGUGUGGGCCGGCGCUGUGGCCACUUGGAUGGAAACGGCUGGGUCAUUUUCGACCGGGUGAGCCUUUCCUCGCGCGCCCCGCGUCGCGCGUCCCGUGGCUUGCCUGGGGCUCGAGGAGCCCAUUGGGCACGCCCGCAGCAACCCUAGCUUCCCAUCCACAGCCACGUCCUCCUCCCUCCUCCCUCUCACACCCCAUUCCUCUCUUCCUCCUCCCUCCUUCCUGGAUCCUGCCACCGCCACACCCACUCGUCUCCUCCUCUCUCCUUCCUGAUCUCUACGUCAGCCGCAACGCGAGAGGAGCAGCGGCGGCGGAGAUGCUCCCGGCCCCGCCUCUCNNNNNNNNNNNNNNNNNNNNNNNNNNNNNNNNNNNNNNNNNNNNNNNNNNNNNNNNNNNNNNNNNNNNNNNNNNNNNNNNNNNNNNNNNNNNNNNNNNNNNNNNNNNNNNNNNNNNNNNNNNNNNNNNNNNNNNNNNNNNNNNNNNNNNNNNNNNNNNNNNNNNNNNNNNNNNNNNNNNNNUGGGCGGGUGGGAACUGGGAAGGGGGCGAGCGGGACGGGCGGGGCGGCAGAUGGGGAGGCGGCUAGGGUUCUACCUGCUGCUGGCGGAAGUAGCAGGGUUUGAAGGAGCGGCAGAUGUGGGCAUGGUUGCGGUUGGGGAAGGCUCACCGGCUGGGGGACGGCGAGCAUCGGUGAGCGCAACGAAAGGAAGCCAGGCAUCGGCGUACGGCAACGAUUUUGGCGCCUGCGGCAUGACGGCGAGUCGCCGCCGAACGCUCAGCGAUGGGGCGAGUUGGUUAAGGUGUCAGUGGCGCCUUUGCUUGUCGCCAAGGAUGGCACGUGCGCGAUCUGAAGUACGACGUCGGCCAACUUCGGCCUCCGAGGCUUCCCUGACACCCUCCUCUACCACUACCUCAAUAAAAAGGUCUUCGAAGGAUUAGGGCUUAGGGCAACUCGAUGGCAGCCAGUCGGAGUUUGCUAAGUUGCAUAUGCAAGUCCUUUUGAAAUAUGAAACUUCUGUCUGGUGAUGAGCUUCUGCUCAUCUUGAUUGAUUCAUCUCCAGUGAAGGGGUGUGCCUUUUGAUGCAUUCAUUUUCUCUUUCAUACAUGGUGUUCAUCUUUGUUUUGGAGAACAACACCCUUGCUGAUGUUCAUCUUCUCUAUGUAUGCAGGGGGCUUGUCCUUCCAUGGUGCUCAGCCACGGACAGAUUUGGAGCGAAAAUAGGAGAUCCUGACAAAAAUGAGCAUGCUAGCGGUGGAUCCAAGGAUGCAUGGUGAUUGUGCCAGGUUUGUGCUCUGGCUCUUCUGUUGGGUACACAUGAAUCUAUGAUCCAGAUUCUAGCUACACCCUUUACUACAACAAUCUCAGGCUUUACUGAAAAGUGUACUGCUUAUAUAGUUGAUAUCUUUAAUUCAUAUGGUCGUCCGCUGGAUGAUCACUGGUCUUCGGUUCAUAUGGUCACUGGCUGGAAGCUUGCUGUUAUGUUUGCUUCAUAUGGUGGUCGACUGGAAGCUCGCGGUCUGAAUGAUCUCAUUGUCUAUGGCCGGCAAUACACACUUUUCAUUACUACCAGCCAAGUCUUCUCAGAGUGAUUGAAUAAAUUCCAUUCCUUUGUGCUGCAUUUUACCUUCCAUGGUUUUUGCUCAAAAUGGCAUAAUAUGCCACUUGCACCACCGUUGGUCUUUGAAAUUUAGUAACUCCAGUUUUUCAUAGAUAACAAUUGUGCAGUCUUUGUCCUUUCCACUUACCAUUACCAUUUUUGUGAUGAUACUUCACUAGAAAUUUGUUUGGUACUCAUCUAAAAAUAGAUUCAUAAUGAGGUCACUUUUGCAAUGCAUGUGAGUUAAGUUUUUUUUGCAUCUGCGGUUAUAUAUUGUAGAAUCAGGGGAGAGAGGGGUGGCGGCUGGGAUAGAAAGAUGGCCUGGUAUUGUAUUCUAUUGGAGUUAGAGUUUCCUGUACAAGGGGGCAGCACAUAUAUAGGCUGCAGGGUUACAUGGGCCACAUGGGCCAUAAGCGCGCGCGCACACACACACACACUGAAAUACAGAUAAGACACAGCCCAACACUCCCCCUCAAGAGGGAUGAUAGAUAUCUAUCAUGCCCAUCUUGUCACAAGCAAGAUUGCUCUCCCUGGUUCCCAAACCUUUUGUCAGACAAUCGGCGACUUGUUGUCCAGAGCUCACAUGAGUUAUCUUGAUGAUUCCUGCAUCCAGUUUCUCUUUGAUAAAGAAUCUGUCUAUCUCCACAUGUUUUGUUCUGUCAUGUUGCACUGGAUUAUUAGCAAUGCUGAUUGCAGAUUUGUUGUCACACCACACAUUCAGAGGAUCUUGUCUGAGCACUUUCAGCUCAAGCAGAAGGCCUCUUACCCAUAACAUCUCACUCAGCCCUUGAGACAUUGCCCUAUACUCAGCUUCUGCAGUUGAUUUUGACACCACCGGUUGUUUUUUGCUUCUCCAUGAUACCAAAUUUCCACCAACAAACACACAAUAGCUAGAGGUUGAUCGUCUAUCAUCAAGACAGCUAGCCCAAUCAGCAUCGCUAUAACCGUCAACAUUCAAAUGGCCAUUACUCUUGAACCAGAGUCCCAUACCAGGGCUGCCCUUUAGAUACCUCAUGAUUCUAUAGACUGCAUCAAGGUGUCCACUUCUGGGGUCAUGCAUAUAUCUACUUACUACACUUACUGCAUAUGUAAUAUCUGGUCUAGUGUGACACAAGUACAGAAGUUUGCCAACCAAUUGUUGAUAUUUUGCUUUGUUAACUUGUUCACCCAUCUGUGCUGUCAAUUUGUGAUUUUGUUCAAUGGGAGUUGGGGCUGCUCUACAUCCAAGCAUUCCCAUAUCACUUAGGAGCUCUAAGGUAUACUUCCGCUGAGACAGGGCUAUUCCCCUCUUUGAUCUUGCAACUUCGAUACCCAGGAAAUAUUUUAGCUGACCAAGAUCCUUAACUUCAAAUGCUUUGCCUAGGCAUUUCUUUAGUCUUCCAAUCUCCUCUUCAUUGUCUCCCGUUAUUAUGAUGUCAUCCACAUAUACUGCAAGAAUAGUAAUCUGUUGCUUGGAAUGUUUAUAGAAAACAGUGUGAUCUCCAUUGCAUUGUUUAUACUCCAUACUGCAAACUGCUUGCCUGAACCGGUCAAACCAAGCCCUUGGCGAUUGCUUCAAACCAUAGAGAGAUUUUCUCAAUCUACAAACCUUCCCAACAGUCCCAGGUGUAGAAAGUCCAGGAGGAAUUUCCAUGUAGACUUCCUCUUGUAGAUCUCCAUGUAAAAAGGCAUUUUUUACAUCAAGUUGGUGUAGUGGCCAUCCAAAGUUAGCUGCACAUGAGAUUAGAAUCCUCACUGUAUUCAUCUUUGCAACUGGGGCGAAUGUUUCGUCAUAAUCAAUACCAUACGUUUGGCUGUACCCUCUGGCUACCAGUCUUGCCUUGUAACGCUCAACCUUACCCUCAGGAUUCUGCUUCACUGUGAAGAUCCACUUACAACUGACUGCCUUCUUCCCAUAUGGAAGAUUCGCUAGCUCCCAUGUUUUGUUCUUUCUCAGGGCCUCCAACUCUUCCCUCAUGGCUUCACACCACUUUGGAUCUUGUCUUGCUUCUUUCGAGUCUUUAGGAACAAUCACGGCUUGAAGUGAUGCGACAAAUGCUCUAAAUGAAGGUGAUAGGGCUUCAUAGGUGACAUAAUUACUGAUGUCAUGCUCAAGAUUGCCCUUGCUCAAAGUUUUCCUUGCUACUUCCUUCUUGAGAGCAAUUGGCAGGUUAGGUGAUGCUUCUUCAGUACUUGAAUUUUCAUAUGACUCCACUUCAGAUGAGCUUCCUGUCGCUUGAGUUUCUUUUGACUGCUCCCCCUGUUCCAUAGUUUCUUUUGACUGCUCCUCAUGCACUUGUUCCUCCACAACUCUCUUCCUUCUUGUAUACACCUGAGGAUUCCUUUCCUCAUUUGGUCUCUGCCACCUCUGCUGUUCAGCCCCAUCAACUACAACUGGAAUGAAGGAUCCCACUAUUUUCGGGGUUGGUAUUGGCUGCUCCUUGUUGCCAUUGGUGCUGCACUCACCACUCAAGUUGCACCCCCCCUCUUGACCACCCUGCAUAGAUUGUGAGUGGUCAAGUUCUUCGAAUAAAGUGCUGAGAUCUGUCUUCUCACCAUAGAAAGGCUCAGAUUCUCGAAAGGUAACAUCCAUACUUACAAAUGUGCGCCUUUCAGCAGGACUCCAACACUUAUAGCCUCGCUGCCCUGCAGGAUAUCCAACAAAUAUGCAUUUUACAGCUCGUGGAUCCAGCUUUCCCACUGCUGGUCUGUGAUCUCUAACGAAGCAGGUGCACCCAAAUAACUUCGGAGGAACUGAGAAUUUGUUCUCCCCAAAUAGCAUCUCACAUGGGGACUUCAUACCAAGCAUUUUUGAAGGCAUCCGGUUGAUCAGGAACGUUGCAGUCAUGACAGCUUCACUCCACAAGAAUUUUGGCACAUUCAUGGUGAACAUAAGUGAUCGAGCCACUUCUAAAAUGUGUCGGUUUUUCCUUUCUGCAACACCAUUCUGAGCAGGGGUAUCUGGACAUGAUGUUUGGUGCAUUAUGCCUUGUGCUGACAGGAAACCUCCAAAUUGCUUGUUUACAUAUUCAGUUCCAUUGUCAGAUCUGAUCACCUGCACCUGCACAUUGAAUUGGUUUCGCACAUAGGCAUAAAACUCCUGAAAACAUUGGAAUACCUCAUCUUUAUGUCGCAUGAGGUACACCCAAGUCAUGCGAGUGUGGCAGUCUAUAAAUGUCACAAAAUAUUUCAUUCCACUAACAGAAACAACAGGACAUGUCCACACAUCAGAGUGAAUCAGCAUAAACGGGGAUAUACUCCUUAGCCCCUUACUCAAAUAUGAGAUUCUUGUGUGCUUUGCAUAUUCACAUGCAUCACACACAAGCUUACUCUUGUCUACUCCACGCAUUACAUCAGGAAACAUCUUACUCAUCUUAUCAAAAGCCAUAUGCCCCAUGCGACAGUGAUGGAUCAUCGCCAUUGUCUCACUUACUCCAACUAGUACAACCAAAAUAGGACUAGCACCAGACCUAGACACAUCACGAUCCAUAUACCACAAUCCACUAUGCCUGGUUCCUGUCCCAAGUUUCCUUCCAGUCAUCCUCUCCUGAAUCAAACAUAUUUUCUUAUCAAGAGUUAUUCGGCAAUCUAUCUGAUCAAUCAAAGCACUUAGAGAAAGCAAGUUCACAUGAAAAGCUGGAACAUGUAAUACAUCAGAUAAUUUAAUAGUGGUUGUACAUUGAACUGAUCCAACUCCUUUAAUCGGUUGUGAGGUGCCAUCAGCAGUUUGUAUUGUUUCACAAUGUGUAAUUGGGUACUGAGUAUAUGAUUCAAACUCAGUUGAGGUACCCACAACAUGCUUGGAUGCUCCAGAAUCUAAUAUCCAAUCUGGAAGGAAAUCAUGUGUGGAUAUAGAUGCAUUUGCAAAGUUACCUUCCCCUGUGUAGACAAAGUGGGCAAAGUUCCCGAAGGUGUUGUCCUCCUGGCUUCUACUCUUCGACUCCCCUUGAGAGGUUGUUGACGUCCCUUCUUCUUGCGUUGCCAAGUUAGCCAAGUUUGCUUUGAAGCCACUGGAAUAAUUCGAACCCCUCGAGUUACCUCUGCCUCUAACUCCCCGGUAUCCACCUCGGCUGUAACCUCUUCCCCUACCACGUAUUUCUCUGUGUUGUGCUGUGCAAUUGAUGCUUAUGUGACCUUUCUCUCCACAGUUGAAGCACUCUCUUGUCUCCUUCCAUUCAGACACAGUAAAUGCUGAGCGAGAUGCAUUCGCUUCUCCAGUCCCGGUCAACUUCAACCUGACCUCUUCCUGUGCCAUUGCUGCAACUGCCUCCUCAAGCGAGGGGAGCUUUGGCUGAUGAAACAACCCAGCACGCCUUCCUUCAAAUUCUGAACUAAGUCCCUUCAAGAAUUUCAUCACUCUCCUACGCUCUACCCACUUCUUAGUAGCAACUAUACAUUCUGAAUGUGGUAACUCCAGUGGAUCAUAGUGGUCUAAGUCAGCCCACAAAUGCUGCAAUUCUGCUACAUACUCCAUCACCGACUUAUCCCCUUGUUUUAGCUCAUUUACUCUAUCCUCAAUCUGCGCCAUAAGCAUUAUGUUCCCUUUCCCGGAGUACAAUGUUUCCAGGGUUUUCCAUACCUCUGCUGCAUGGGGAAGAGUCUCCACGGCUGCUGCAAUGGAUGGGGUCAAGGAGUUCAGCAGCCAUGCCACCACCAGAGAGUCAAUGACACUCCACUUCUUCCACUCUUCACUUGCCCUGUUCGCCGGUUCAUCUACUUCCCCUCUGACAUAGCCUUCCAGCCCCUUUGUCCUCAAUAUUAGCAAUGCCCUUCUGGACCAGCUUAGGUAGUUUGUGACCCCUUCCAUCUUGAUUUCAUUUGGCAUCAGUUCUAUUUUCUGUAUCACCUCAGGUUGAGGAACAAGCGCACCUGGGGAAGCCACACCCUCUGCCUUGACAGUGAUGAGCUCAGCUAGCUUCUCCAACGCCUUUACCAACCCCUGGUUGUCCCCCAUCUUUCCAAUCUUGAAUCACACCACUAGCAACCUCCAGCAACCAUUGCUCCCCACUUUCACCUCUCUACUACCUCCUCCCCUCAGAUCUGGGAUUCCACCUCUCCUUCUUCCACACAAGCCUUCUCCUCUCAGACAAUCGCCAGCAAGCACAACCAGCCAACCACCAUCACCACUGCUGGGAUUGGGAACCCAAGCUCUGAUACCAUGUAGAAUCAGGGGAGAGAGGGGUGGCGGCUGGGAUAGAAAGAUGGCCUGGUAUUGUAUUCUAUUGGAGUUAGAGUUUCCUGUACAAGGGGGCAGCACAUAUAUAGGCUGCAGGGUUACAUGGGCCACAUGGGACACAUGGGCCACAUGGGCCAUAAGCGCGCGCACACACACACACACUGAAAUACAGAUAAGACACAGCCUAACAUAUAUGUUUAGUCAUUUGUAUUGAAAAGUCAGUGCAUCUUGGUUGUUUUUGUUGUUGAUCCAGGAGGUUCUUGGUUGCUUGGUAUUUUUGCUACAUGUGCAGUACUAUAAUAUGCUAACCCAUAUAAACGAUGAAGUAUAUUCUGUUUCGUAGAUGAGCAAAGUUUGCUGCAUUCAUAGUAUAUAUGUUUUCUUAUAGAUAUAUGUAUGCCAUUAACUGCUAUCAUUGUGUUUUACAGGGGUUCACGGGCCAUCAUGAUGAUAUACUUGGUUCUUUAAAGAAGAAUGGUAAGAACUAACGAGGGUUGUCUUGUCCAAGAGCUCUGCCGCGAUGGCAUCGCCACUCAGUGAUGCCUCAGCAGGAAGGCUAAUCGCAGGGAGGUGCGACAUGGGUGGCCUAAAAAGCUAAUUUGGUGCCCUCUCUCUUUGCCUCUUGUUUCCUCCAGCACCUUGAUUUUGAUGGCUAAUAUAUUGACUUUCUAAACAUCUUUAAUUUAUAAGGAAUGUAGUAGUUAUAUGCUUUUCAUUUAUGAUAGAGAGAUUGAACCUAGGUGUCUUGCUUGCUGCUUUGAAAUAUAAGCAUGAUAUUUUUCUGCCGACUUUGUGGACAGGCUAACAAUGAAAAUUUUAUCUGUAAAAUAUGGUGAUCCCUAUAGUGCUAUUUCUGAAGCUUCGCUGUGCUUGCUUUCCCCCAACAAGCAGUAAUCCAAUCACGGGUGCAUCAGGUACUAUAUCAUGUGAGAAAAUCAAACUGCUCAUUCAUAAGACAGGAUUUCCGCUCACAUUUAUCAUGCUUUGACACUCACAAAAUAUCUUGUGAGCAUUAAUGCCCGCAAGCCCAACCUGAAGAGAGUAAGCAUCUCUUCUUAUUCUCCCUCUCCCUCAAUUUGCUUUUUUGAUUGUCUUGAUUUGGUAUUGUGAUAUGGUAGUUGUAUACUUCUGAGUGUUAUUCCAUUAUUAUAUCCUCUGAAAUGUUAAAACCUGACUAGAUCUGGAUAUUGUAUGUAUUAUUACGUCUACAUAUGGAGGAGCAGAGCAUUGCAUCGGACCUUUGCCUGUUGAUAUAUAGUACAUCGUCCUUCUCAAGCACAUCGGCUUAACAUACUGAUGCCACCCAUGGUGGCCUUGGGUUCUGAUUGAGGCAUCAGCCACGGACGUGGGAUUGCCAGUUCGUAGUUUUGUUCCACUGAAUUUUUCAUACUCGAGCUUUUGGGCCUACGCUACAACCAGCAGUAUCCAAGACAGGUGGCCGCCUUUUGUACCAUGUUCAAAAGGAAUUGGUGCUCUGAAAUUCAAUAAUUUUUUGCAGGUUUCCUCUCGGUUGCUCAUGUUCACAAUCACAGCAAGUAACCAUAUGGUUUUCCACAGGCAACUGCGCAACAUUAUUUUUCAGGAGGACAAGUAAUCAACUUAUUUCACAUUCAGUACACUACAAACAACUGCUGACACAAUGAGGUUCAACCAUGAUCGUAGCCACCGAUGUCUAAACGCUCUUAUAUUUCUUUACAAUGGAGUAUUUGAUAGUUCAUAGUUGAUAGCACUGAAUAAAGUAUUCCAGAAUAUUACUUAUGUAUCUUAUCACUUGCUCUCUGUUUUUUCCAGCGUGUAUCAGAUUGGUUAUUGUUGUUUCAAUACAGUUUGCGGUUUUAGUAUUUUUUUUAUCAUGCUGAAGCUUUAGUUAGAUUUUUUGUGGGAGUUUCAAGAGCAAUUUUUUUCUUUGCUUGCAGCCGCUAUUUUACUGUUCAACACUGGUAUAGUUGAAGAAUAAUAUUUAGAGAAGUCCCCCAUCAGCAUAUCUGAGCUUAGCCGAGACGACAUGCAUCUACGGGGAGAAUCACCAUGAUGGACUGCAUCUGCCCAGAUGAUCGUUGCGACGGCCACAACGAAGUGCAUCUCUCAAUUCCAGGAUCAACAUGCUGGACGAAUCCUCCUUUCAUGUUAAGUUGCAACAGUGCAAGCAAACACCAUGGAGGCUUCUGUAGUUAGGGACGGUGAAUCUGCAUCAACAGUGCUGGAUGGAAAUUGCUCGCCGUCCUUCCUCCAUAAACCACGUAGGGACCUUGUAUUAGCCUCCCCAUCUAUCCGUCAGGAAGCCCUGACUUUCCCUGCUAUUGCUGUCAAAAAUGCUACCCUUGUAGCACACGAACUGAACUUAAGUAUGUCACAUGGAGCUUCAGGUAACAAAUCUAAAAGAACCAAAAUUAAUGUAUGGCAUGUCUUUCGUCACAACGCCUCUCUCUUAUUUUGUAUGACCUGAUGUUCAAUGGAGUGUACCAACUACCAAGUGCUAAAAGCAUCAUUAUAGAUUAAUUAUGUACCAG